This 334-nucleotide unclassified non-coding RNA is filed under the name soil metagenome. RNAcentral's name for it is "partial contains 5.8S ribosomal RNA, internal transcribed spacer 2, and large subunit ribosomal RNA". The stretch from base 1 to 120 matches the Rfam family "5.8S ribosomal RNA", at positions 35 to 154 of the family's 154-position model. The record is from RNAcentral.
GAUGAAGAACGUAGCGAAAUGCGAUACGUAAUGUGAAUUGCAGAAUUCAGUGAAUCAUCGAAUCUUUGAACGCACAUUGCGCCUGCCAGCACUCUGGCAGGCAUGCCUGUUCGAGCGUCAUUUCAACCAUCAAGCCCUAGGCUUGCGUUGGAGCCCUGCGGCUGCCGCAGGCCCCUAAAAGCAGUGGCGGGCUCGCUAUCACACCGAGUGCAGUAGAUUACUCUUCGCUCAGGGCGUGUGGCGGGUUCCAGCCGUGAAACCCCCUACUUCUCACGGUUGACCUCGGAUCAGGUAGGAAUACCCGCUGAACUUAAGCAUAUCAAUAAGCGGAGGA